RNAcentral lists this transfer RNA (86 nucleotides) under Felis catus (domestic cat). It matches the Rfam family "tRNA". Rfam says of the family: Transfer RNA (tRNA) molecules are approximately 80 nucleotides in length. Their secondary structure includes four short double-helical elements and three loops (D, anti-codon, and T loops). Lineage: Eukaryota; Metazoa; Chordata; Mammalia; Carnivora; Felidae. The record is from Rfam by way of RNAcentral. RNAcentral also lists the same sequence under 2 other names.
GCCUGGGUGGCUUAGUCGGUUAAGCAUCUGACUUAGGCUCAGGUCAUGAUCUCAUGUUUUCGUGAGUUCGAGCCUAGUGUCAGGCU